GGUCCCGUGGCCUAGUGGAUACGGCGUCUGACUUCUAAUCAGAAGAUCGUGGGUUCGACCCCCACCGGGAUCG
This is a transfer RNA of Batrachochytrium dendrobatidis JEL423, 73 nucleotides long. It matches the Rfam family "tRNA". Rfam says of the family: Transfer RNA (tRNA) molecules are approximately 80 nucleotides in length. Their secondary structure includes four short double-helical elements and three loops (D, anti-codon, and T loops). NCBI's taxonomy places the organism in Eukaryota, Fungi, Chytridiomycota, Chytridiomycetes, Rhizophydiales. The record is from Rfam.